UACGUAGGGUGCAAGCGUUGUCCGGAAUUAUUGGGCGUAAAGAGCUCGUAGGCGGUUUGUCGAGUCUGCUGUGAAAACUCGGGGCUUAACCCCGGGCCUGCAGUGGGUACGGGCAGACUAGAGUGCGGUAGGGGAGACUGGAAUUCCUGGUGUAGCGGUGAAAUGCGCAGAUAUCAGGAGGAACACCGGUGGCGAAGGCGGGUCUCUGGGCCGUAACUGACGCUGAGGAGCGAAAGCGUGGGGAGCGAACAGG
Molecule: ribosomal RNA, 253 nt
Filed under: uncultured bacterium
Lineage: Bacteria
Description: partial 16S ribosomal RNA
Rfam family: Bacterial small subunit ribosomal RNA
Source: RNAcentral